This 792-nucleotide ribosomal RNA is filed under the name Botryosphaeria agaves. RNAcentral describes it as "LSU rRNA". It matches the Rfam family "Eukaryotic large subunit ribosomal RNA", at positions 111 to 921 of the family's 3401-position model. The record is from RNAcentral. Lineage: Eukaryota; Fungi; Ascomycota; Dothideomycetes; Botryosphaeriales; Botryosphaeriaceae.
AAAUUUGAAAGCUGGCUCCUUCGGAGUCCGCGUUGUAAUUUGUAGAGGAUGAUUCGGCAAGGGCUCCCGCCUAAGUCUCCUGGAACGGAGCGUCAUAGAGGGUGAGAAUCCCGUAUGCGGUGGGCUGCCUAAGCCAUGUGAAUCUCCUUCGACGAGUCGAGUUGUUUGGGAAUGCAGCUCUAAAUGGGAGGUAAAUUUCUUCUAAAGCUAAAUACCGGCCAGAGACCGAUAGCGCACAAGUAGAGUGAUCGAAAGAUGAAAAGCACUUUGGAAAGAGAGUUAAAAAGUACGUGAAAUUGUUGAAAGGGAAGCGCUUGCAGCCAGACUUGUCCGCAGUUGCUCAGCCGGUCUCCUGACCGGUGUAUUCUUCUGCGGCCAGGCCAGCAUCAGUUCGGGCGGUCGGAUAAAGACCUCGGGAACGUAGCUCCUCUCGGGGAGUGUUAUAGCCCGGGGUGGAAUGCGGCCAGCCUGGACUGAGGAACUCGCUUCGGCUAGGAUGCUGGCGUAAUGGCUGUAAGCGGCCCGUCUUGAAACACGGACCAAGGAGUCUAACAUCUAUGCGAGUGUUUGGGUGUCAAACCCAUGCGCGUAAUGAAAGUGAACGGAGGUGGGAACCCUCACGGGUGCACCAUCGACCGAUCCUGAUGUCUUCGGAUGGAUUUGAGUAAGAGCAUAGCUGUUGGGACCCGAAAGAUGGUGAACUAUGCCUGAAUAGGGUGAAGCCAGAGGAAACUCUGGUGGAGGCUCGCAGCGGUUCUGACGUGCAAAUCGAUCGUCAAAUUUGGGUAUAGG